This 341-nucleotide ribosomal RNA is filed under the name uncultured Glomeromycotina. RNAcentral describes it as "eukaryotic LSU rRNA". The record is from RNAcentral. Lineage: Eukaryota; Fungi; Glomeromycota.
AUCAGCCUUUUGGGUGUGAUUUUGUGGAGCGUGAAGAGUUAAACGCCUUCAUGCCUGCAUACUCGUGCACUUUGGGUGUACUUGCCCGUAUGGUUGGUUAACAUCAAUUUUGGUGGUCAUAAAAUGACUGGAGGAAUGUAGCUUCGAUCUUGUAUUGAAGUGUUAUAGCCUUCGGUAGAUGUGAUGAUCGAGAUUGAGGAUUGCAACGGAUACCCUUCGGGGCUACCUGUCUGGUCUCUGAUCGUUGCUCUGGUGCCGAAAGCUUGCUUACGGUUAUCAAAGUCGAUGGUCAAUAGGUUAGAACAGGUUAAAUUUGUUAAGGAUGUUGACGUAAUGGCUUU